Molecule: ribosomal RNA, 435 nt
Filed under: uncultured bacterium
Lineage: Bacteria
Description: bacterial SSU rRNA
Rfam family: Bacterial small subunit ribosomal RNA
Source: RNAcentral
UACGGGAGGCAGCAGUAGGGAAUAUUGGUCAAUGGGUGCAAGCCUGAACCAGCCAUGCCGCGUGCAGGAAGAAGGCCCUAUGGGUUGUAAACUGCUUUUGCCAGGGGAUAAAAUGAGCGUGCGCGCUUAAUUGAAGGUACCUGGUGAAUAAGCCACGGCUAACUACGUGCCAGCAGCCGCGGUAAUACGUAGGUGGCAAGCGUUGUCCGGAUUUAUUGGGUUUAAAGGGUGCGUAGGCGGUCCUAUAAGUCAGUGCUGAAAUAUCCCGGCUUAACCGGGAGGGUGGCAUUGAUACUGCAGGACUUGAGUAAAGUUGAGGUUGGCGGAAUUGACGGUGUAGCGGUGAAAUGCUUAGAUAUCGUCAAGAACACCUAUUGCGAAGGCAGCUAACUAAGCUUUAACUGACGCUGAGGCACGAAAGUGUGGGGAUCAAAC